Myodes glareolus (Bank vole) is the source of this 673-nucleotide long non-coding RNA. RefSeq lists it as uncharacterized. The record is from RefSeq and is a predicted model, not a curated record. NCBI's taxonomy places the organism in Eukaryota, Metazoa, Chordata, Mammalia, Rodentia, Cricetidae.
GAGAGCGCUGCGCCACGCGGCGGGCCGAGCCUCAGGCGGAGGACGCGGUGUCAGAAUCCAAAGCAGCAAUUCUACAAGUCCUCCCUGCCCUAAGUGGCAGGGACGUGAGUGAUGCAAGAACUAGGGCCUGAUGAUUCUUCCUCUUCACCUACCCCGUCUUGGAAUGGAAGGCGCGGGCAUCUCACGUGACCGACUUGACAGGUCACAUGACCAGGAACUAGCUUUAACCUGGCCUCUGGAAAGAAUCUAAUCGGAAUAGGGGCCUGCUGACUUCAGUAAGGGACUGUUUCGUUAGAUCGAGAAGCUCGGGUUCGUCUAAUUCCACAUCCUACGCACACAUACCUUAGUCUCCGGUGGUCUACUGUGGUGAGGAAAACGAGGUACCUGAGACAGAAUGGAUCAUUCAGCUUCCAGCCUGAAGACACCCAACCCCUCAUGCUGAUACCUUUUCCCCAGUUGUUACUUCCCUCUCCUUGGCCCUUACUCACCAUGUCUGGCUGGAGGCGACCCAGAUGCCAUGUGAUGGUCAUUUGAAGACAGGAUUUCUCAAUAUCAGCUCAAGGUCCAGACAUGUGCUUUCCGGGCCCUGGGCCCUGAGCUCCAUACCUGGCCCUGGUUGAUGGCGGCGUGUUGAGACGUGCAUGUGAAGACACACAUCGUAAGGAAAUGGCAG